This 305-nucleotide ribosomal RNA is filed under the name uncultured bacterium. RNAcentral describes it as "bacterial SSU rRNA". It matches the Rfam family "Bacterial small subunit ribosomal RNA", at positions 334 to 656 of the family's 1533-position model. The record is from RNAcentral.
UUUUCCUACGGGAGGCAGCAGUGGGGAAUAUUGCACAAUGGGGGAAACCCUGAUGCAGCGACGCCGCGUGAGUGAAGAAGUAUUUCGGUAUGUAAAGCUCUAUCAGCAGGGAAGAAAAUGACGGUACCUGACUAAGAAGCCCCGGCUAACUACGUGCCAGCAGCCGCGGUAAUACGUAGGGGGCAAGCGUUAUCCGGAUUUACUGGGUGUAAAGGGAGCGUAGACGGCAGAGCAAGUCUGAAGUGAAAGCCCGCGGCCCAACUGCGGGACUGCUCUGGAAACUGUACGGCUGGAGUGCAGGAGAG